CACGUAGGGCGCAAGCGUUGUCCGGAAUUAUUGGGCGUAAAGAGCUCGUAGGCGGUCUGUUGCGUCCGCUGUGAAAACUCGGGGCUUAACCCCGAGCCUGCAGUGGAUACGGGCAGACUAGAGGUAGGUAGGGGAGAAUGGAAUUCCCGGUGUAGCGGUGAAAUGCGCAGAUAUCAGGAGGAACACCGGUGGCGAAGGCGGGUCUCUGGGAAGUAACUGACGCUGAGAAGCGAAAGCGUGGGUAGCGAACAGG
RNAcentral lists this ribosomal RNA (253 nucleotides) under uncultured bacterium. RNAcentral describes it as "partial 16S ribosomal RNA". It matches the Rfam family "Bacterial small subunit ribosomal RNA", at positions 524 to 776 of the family's 1533-position model. The record is from RNAcentral.